UGCGCCUUGCCAGCCCGCUCAGAAACUCAAAGGAAUUGACGGGGGCCCGCGACAAGCGGUGGAGCAUGUGGUUUAAUUCGAUGAUACGCGAGGAACCUUACCUGGGCUCAAAUGUAUGUUGACGUAUUCUGAAAGGGAUACUCUUCGGACAAUAUACAAGGUGCUGCAUGGUUGUCGUCAGCUCGUGCCGUGAGGUGUCGGGUUAAGUCCCAUAACGAGCGCAACCCUUGCCUUUAGUUGCCAGCAGUUCGGCUGGGCACUCUAAAGGGACUGCCGGUGUUAAACCGGAGGAAGGUGGGGAUGACGUCAAGUCCUCAUGGCCUUUAUGACCAGGGCUACACACGUACUACAAUGGCCGAUACAAAGGGCAGCGACACUGCGAGGUGAAGCCAAUCCCGUAAAAUCGGUCUCAGUCCGGAUUGGAGUCUGCAACUCGACUCCAUGAAGUUGGAAUCGCUAGUAAUCGUGGAUCAGCAUGCCACGGUGAAUACGUUCCCGGGCCUU
Molecule: ribosomal RNA, 504 nt
Filed under: uncultured Desulfobulbus sp.
Lineage: Bacteria; Pseudomonadati; Thermodesulfobacteriota; Desulfobulbia; Desulfobulbales; Desulfobulbaceae
Description: bacterial SSU rRNA
Rfam family: Bacterial small subunit ribosomal RNA
Source: RNAcentral